GACGAACGCUGGCGGCGUGCCUAAUACAUGCAAGUCGAGCGGACGGAUGGGAGCUUGCUCCCAGACCGUCAGCGGCGGACGGGUGAGUAACACGUGGGCAACCUGCCUGUAAGACUGGGAUAACUCCGGGAAACCGGGGCUAAUACCGGAUAACUCUUUCCCUCACAUGAGGGAAAGCUGAAAGAUGGCAUCUCGCUAUCACUUACAGAUGGGCCCGCGGCGCAUUAGCUAGUUGGUGAGGUAACGGCUCACCAAGGCGACGAUGCGUAGCCGACCUGAGAGGGUGAUCGGCCACACUGGAACUGAGACACGGCCCAGACUCCUACGGGAGGCAGCAGUAGGGAAUCUUCCGCAAUGGACGAAAGUCUGACGGAGCAACGCCGCGUGAGUGAUGAAGGUUUUCGGAUCGUAAAACUCUGUUGUCAGGGAAGAACAAGUACCGGAGUAACUGCCGGUACCUUGACGGUACCUGACCAGAAAGCCACGGCUAACUACGUG
This 498-nucleotide ribosomal RNA is filed under the name uncultured bacterium. RNAcentral's name for it is "partial 16S ribosomal RNA". It matches the Rfam family "Bacterial small subunit ribosomal RNA", at positions 28 to 507 of the family's 1533-position model. The record is from RNAcentral.